RNAcentral lists this ribosomal RNA (244 nucleotides) under uncultured bacterium. Its description in RNAcentral is "partial 16S ribosomal RNA". It matches the Rfam family "Bacterial small subunit ribosomal RNA", at positions 28 to 265 of the family's 1533-position model. The record is from RNAcentral.
GACGAACGCUGGCGGCGUGCUUAACACAUGCAAGUCGAGCGGUAAGGCCCUUUCGGGGGUACACGAGCGGCGAACGGGUGAGUAACACGUGGGUGACCUGCCCUUAGCUCUGGGAUAAGCCUGGGAAACUGGGUCUAAUACCGGAGUAUGACUCCAUGACGCAUGUUGUGGGGUGGGAAAGACCUUGUGCGGCUAGGGAGUGGGCCCGGCCGGCCGUAUCAGCUUGUUGGUGGGGUGGAUGGCC